This is a long non-coding RNA of Triticum dicoccoides, 3187 nucleotides long. RefSeq lists it as uncharacterized. The transcript is spliced from 8 exons. Lineage: Eukaryota; Viridiplantae; Streptophyta; Magnoliopsida; Poales; Poaceae. The record is from RefSeq and is a predicted model, not a curated record.
ACGCAGGCACGCAGCCUUGAUCCCCUCCUUCCUCCCCGCCACCGCCACCGCCACCGCCACGAACUCCUACUCCGACACGAACUCUGCUCAAGCCCGCUCCCAUGGUUCCCGACAUCGACAGCGACUCUUUACCCGUCCCGCAAGCCGAAGGCACCACCUACAGAAAGGACUCGAGUCCCUCGAUCGAAACCCUAGAUCAGACCGGAUCCCGGCGGCGCCACGACAGGUUGCCGGCCUGCAGUCCUCCUCACGGGACAAGCUGCGUUCGCGGUGCGCUCUCGCUGCCCGCCGGCUUCGACGAUGUGGGCCGGGGCGCCGCCCUUCCGCAGAUCCGCAAUCGAGCCGUGCGUCCGAUCUGCCGCCUCCCCUCGACGUCCACGGCUCUGCGCUCUUCCGUGUUCUCUCCUACCGCAAGUUGUGGGCCGCUACGCCGCUAUCUGCCGGUUCCUCGUACAAGAGCGAUGGACAAACUGAGCCCUGUGGGAAGCAAUCGCAUCAGCUCAACGACGUCCAGCGUUUCUCCUCUCUAUGUUUCUUUGCACGCCUAUCUCCAAGCACGAAGCCACGACGAGAUGGUCCGGUCUUAGUACUAUGUUGAUAGCGAGGGUGCUUGGUUCAAGGGAAGCAGCCGGUUCUCUACUUCUUUGUAUGCUUAUAUGGUAUCUUGGAUGAGGGUUACAAAUUCAACAUGUCAGUUGAGGAAGCUGCUGAGUUAGCACGGUGGGCUUUUAUCACACAACAUUAUGUGACAUGACAAAGCUAAUGGUGGCUGUGUUCGUGGUGAUAGAAGAGAUCCAUGCUUACAAACUUUUGGGAUAACCGAGUUUGUCAAUGCCAAGAAAAUAAUCAUCGGGUUUUCAAGUGUAGGCAUCGUGUGAAAGCCCAAUUAGUGUUCCUGGUUCAUGAAUUUAAGAACACAUUCUCAUCUCCCUGCUGUCUAUGUUCCAUUGUUUUAGAUUUAAAAGUGCUUUAGAUGAUUCUUGAUGCCCUGUCCAACCUUUCCAUUUCAGGCAUCAUUUCUAAGUUGUAUGGCAUCCACGAAUUUCCUGAUAGUUUGUUCUGCACCAGGCUGCCUCAUGUAGGAUUUUGGCGCUCAUGAUCUACCUUGAUUAGCUGACCUGCUCCCAGGCCUACUUCCCCUCCCCUCUGACCUCUCUCCCUCUAUGUAUGAUGUUUGAUAUGUGUUUUGGUUCAAAUUUGACAUGACUAUUUGAUUGAUGCUUGGUUUAGAAUGGAACAAGUUCUAUAAUUGGUAGAAGAGUCCUAUGUCAUACUUUGUAUUUUUUGUCAGGAUGGAUGCUUCAUAACAGGUGUAUGGAAGCACAAAAGUAGACUCAUAUAAACUGCAGUUGCAGUAUCAGCAAUAAGCAAGGGAAGUAUCACAUGUUUCUAUCAAAACUGUGUAUAAAUUUAAGAGCUUAGCAAGAGAAUAGCAUCUCUGUUCCCGGAGAAAAAAAAUUAAGAGCUUAGCAAGAGAAUAGCAUCUCUGUAUAAAUUUUAGAGCUUAGUUUUUUGCAUAUGCAUGUAACAGCAACUCUUUUGUGUUCUGGUCUUAAAUAUCUUAUUCAUGAUACAGUAAUCUGCACCAAGCUUACUAUGUUGAAUUUCGGUAAGGGCAAUCCCUUUGUUUAUGCAUCUUCUUUAACAAAAGAACGAUAUUUGGGUUAUCAUCUGAGAUGUGCUUGAUUAAUGUCUUUCAGGCAAUGUAUGAUGCCAUUUGCGACCUUCUUCUUGAGCAAGCUGAAACAGGAGUAACUCCAUUAAUCAUUAUGUAGGAUGUGUGCACUUGUUUCCAUUGUACCUAUUUUGGAAGCUGUGGUAGCGCAAUAGGCUUUACCAGCGCUUGCAUACUUGCGUGAGGUCGCAGAACAUAAUAGUCUGGCGCAUCCUGCUAUGUACAUAACAGUGUGAUACAACACCUAUAGAAAUUGCUGCAGACUAUUGAAGAAGAGAGCCUGUGGAGAUUGGACGCGGAGUAUGUGAACUCGAGUGCACAGGAGUUCGUUAUCUGUCCCGUUCGGUACUGCGCUGUGAUUCGGUGCAUUGAAUGCUCGCAACAGGCCCGUGGUCGACCAGGAAUUUGGAAAUUGAGAUAUACGUAGAGGUGCAGACCUGACUGGUGGGCAAUAGCUCUGACGGACGUUGGGCCGCCGUCGACUGAUCGGAGGAGAGCCAUGGCUCGGGACGUCGGUGCCGUCCCGAUCCAUGGUUCAGAAUUGUUAGUAUCGACAGUGAUCGAGUAAAUGCAGGGAUGGGUAGAUGCAAGCAACUGUCUCCUACCUUACGAGACUAGAUCUUUCUUCUCUUGAGGUCGGUGAUCCGGAGGAGGCGAGUGCGGCUGCCGGAGAAGAUGGACUUCUUGAUGCAACCGAUUAACAGUAGUGUUUUGCUGUAGGAGGUGAACAACAGUGACAAACCCAUGGAGCCCCUCUGGUACCCAGUGAUGGCGCAGCUUCGCGGCCAGAUCUGUGAGACGGAAGUGACGGCGCAGCCCCUGGUCGAGAUCGACCCCAAGCCUCAGAGCAAAUCCAUAGAGCACAUCGACCCCAAGCCUCAGAGCAAAUCCAUAGAGCAGAUCGACCCCAAGAGUCCAGGAUGGACGCGUAGGGGAAGCAUAUAGUGGAGAACACAAGAUCCUGUCGUGGCGAAUGCCCUGCUCUCAUAAGACUUUUGUGUUCGAAAGACAACGGGUGGUACAUAGCCGAGCAUAGGGAGGAGCACAACCAUUCACUGUCUCCCACUUUUGGGCAGACAAUACACUGGCCUUCACACAAGCAUAUUGAUGUAUACGGCGGGUAUUUGGUGAAAUAGCUACGGUAGAACAACUGAACCUUGCCAAGGUGUACAACAUUAUUGGGAGUUUCUUCGGGAGGAUGGAGAACGUGCCUCUCACAAAGAGCCUUGUGGAAUAUAUGCGGUAAAAUUAGCCGUGAACAAGCCGAAUAUGAUGUUAGAAAAACAAUGGAGGUGUUUCAGGAACUUGGUUCAAAAGAUCAAUCAUUCACAUAUCAGGUUCAAGUUGACAAAGAGGGGAGGAUCAACAAUUUGAUGUGGGCUAAUGGGAACAGUAGACUCCAGUACACUUCUUUGUAGAUGUUGUCACCUUUGAUACAAUGUACAUACCAACCUGUAUGACAUGCUGUUUGGUCUAUUUGUUGGAGUGAACAAUCAUUUUCAGAGCAUAAUA